AUAAGUCAUUAAUCACCCUAGGUUUCUUCUGAAGCCAAUGGUGAGAAAUGACACCUUCAGAGACCAGUUCAUCUUAGAUACAUAUUUUAGGAGGAGUUGAAACACCCCCUCCAGAG
Molecule: small nucleolar RNA, 116 nt
Organism: Grus americana (Whooping crane)
Lineage: Eukaryota; Metazoa; Chordata; Aves; Gruiformes; Gruidae
Product: small nucleolar RNA ACA64
Exons: 1
Source: RefSeq, a predicted model, not a curated record